GCUUAUUGGUCCAACCUUCCCCGCCGCUCCCGCCCCGCUGAGCGCACCGGGCUGCCAUUGGCUGUGAGAGCUGUCAGUCGGGGAGUGGGCGGGGCCGGGCGGUGCGGCCGGAUGCUGCUGCGGGGGCUGGCGGGGGCGCGCCGGGGGCCCCCAAAGAGCCCCAGGGGGACCCCACGCCCCCACCCCGCCACCUCCUGCAGCGCCCGGGAGCGUUCGGACACCAAGACAGAGGCCGGGGCCACCUCGGACACCCCGGGAGGGGACAGCAGGACAGCCACCCCUGAUGGCGACGGGGGGGAGCCUCUGCAGCCCCCCCGCUGCCCCCGCCGCCCACCCACUGCUGCGGCACCGGCUGCCCCAACUGCGUCUGGCUGGGGUACGUGGAGGAGCUGCUGGAGCGGCACCGGGACGGCGGAGCCCGGGCCCUGGCGGCCGUGGAGCAGCACGUGGAGGACGAGAACAUCAAAAUGAUCCUCAGGAUGGAGAUCAGGCUGCGUGCCAGGAAGGACUGAGCCUCCCCCGGGCUCCCCACGCCGGUGGGGGGGCAGGAUCCGGGCCUGGGUGGUUUGAGCGUGGCGUCCCGGGGGUGUCACGCGAGGUCGGGUCACCUCCUGUCCCAGAGGGAGCUGUCCUUGGGGACAGGCGGUGACUCAGGGCUGUCCUGAGCCCCGGAUUUCCCAGGAGCUGGAUUUCCCCAGCAUGGCAAAUCCCUGCCAAGGGCAGGCUGGGCAGCCCCCCAGCCCUCCUCCUCCUCCUCCUCCUCCUCCUCCUGGGCUCCCAGCUGGAAUUUAAGCACCUUGGGGGGAUUUUCAGCACCUUGGCCAUGCCCUGGUGGUGGGGAGGGCCGGGGGGCUGGGCCAGACCCCUCCCCACAGGCACCACAAAGCCUCUUAGGGGCCUCUCCGUGGGGGCUCGGGGGGGCAGCGUGUGGCACCGAGCACGUGGGCAGCUGCAGCCUCCUGUCAAGGACACUGUCCCCGGUGUCACAUCCUCCCGGGCUGCUCAGCAAGGUGCCUUUCCUGCCUCCAUCUUAAAUCCCCGGAAACUUGUCCCAAAUCUCCCCCUCCAUCCUGGGGGACUCGCAGCUGUUGAGACCCACCCAGACCCCCCCCAAGUCAUCCCAGGACAAAGUCCCCAAGAGGCCACCCAGCCCUGGAGUGUCACUCACUAAGGAACCCCAAUUCACAGCCGGGCUCUGCUCUCUGCCAGGGAAGUAGGUGCUUCUCCAUGGAAAACACUCCUGGAUCCCUUUAAUCCUAUUUGUUGGAGCCCAGUUGCAAUUAGAGGCGGGGGUUGAAGUUCAAUUAAAGUGUGCCGAGAUUAGUCUGUUUUUAAUUGCUUUAGUGCUGGAUUAGGGAAGCUUUGGAGCAACACCAGCCACGGGCAGGGGCUGCUGGACCCUCUCUGGGACCAGGACCCCCACCCAGGCUGGGCUGGAGACUGGAACGGGGGUCCCAUCGCUCCCUGUGGCAUCAGGGGACACUGGGGGAUCUCUUUGGGAAUGGGGAGGCAGGAUUCCCCCACGUGGGAUCCACUGCCCACCGGCACGGGCAGGGCUAAUCCUGACACCUCCUCCCCCGCCCCGAGCAGGGGAAGGACACCGGAUUACCCCUGGGGAAAGCAGGGAGGUGAAUAAUCCUAUUACCCCCGGGCAGGAUAAAUCUCCCUCCCCGAAAAGCCCCCCAGAGCAUCUCCAGGCCGGAGGGAGCCGGGCUGGGCGGAGGGAGCAGCUCUGGGACCGGGGAUCGCGGCACUCUCGGGUGUGAGGAGCUGUCCUGCGCCAGCGCUGAGCCCCGGGGAGCGCCGUGAGCUCCAGGGAACACCGUGAGCUCCGGGGAACGCCGUGAGUUCCAGGGAGCCCUGGGGAGCACCGUGAGCUCCAGGGAACACCGUGAGCUCCAGGGAACGCCGUGAGUUCCAGGGAGCCCUGGGGAGCACCGUGAGCUCCAGGGAACGCCGUGAGCUCCAGGGAGCCCUGGGGAGCGCCGUGAGCUCCAGGGAGCACCGUGAGCUCUG
Long non-coding RNA from Motacilla alba alba, 2016 nucleotides. RefSeq lists it as uncharacterized. The transcript is spliced from 3 exons. The record is from RefSeq and is a predicted model, not a curated record. NCBI's taxonomy places the organism in Eukaryota, Metazoa, Chordata, Aves, Passeriformes, Motacillidae.